This 119-nucleotide ribosomal RNA is filed under the name Pteropus alecto (black flying fox). The record is from RNAcentral. Lineage: Eukaryota; Metazoa; Chordata; Mammalia; Chiroptera; Pteropodidae.
GUCUGUGGCCAUGCCACCCUGAACAAGCCUGAUCCCGUCUGAUCUCGGAAGCUAAGCAGGGUCGGAUCUGGUUAGUACUUGGAUGGGAGACCACCUAGGAAGACCAGGUGCUGUAGGCG